GUUGUAUAUUAUGAUUUAUAUAAUCGUCGAAAGUAUUUCUAUGCUUUUCCCAAUCUGGAUCAAAACGAAAAAGCGGUGCUGUUUGAAUUGUUUUCACUAUGUAGAGGUAUUUACAAAUGCAGCCAAUUCUUUAGUUGUUUUCGGCAAUGCCCCAUGCGCUAAAAAAUAAUUAAACGCAGCAUUACCCACGACAGCUGAUUUUUGAACAUCUUUUGCUGUUGCUUUUUUACGCUUAGGUUGAUGUUUUAAUUGCGGCAUAAUUAGAUCCUUAAAAAAUUACUACUAUUACUAACCU
Molecule: unclassified non-coding RNA, 295 nt
Filed under: Moritella viscosa
Lineage: Bacteria; Pseudomonadati; Pseudomonadota; Gammaproteobacteria; Alteromonadales; Moritellaceae
Description: putative sRNA
Source: RNAcentral